AACGAACGCUGGCGGCGUGCCUAACACAUGCAAGUUGAACGGGUAUAAAUUGUAGCAAUACAAAUUAUACUUAGUGGCGGACGGGUGAGUAACACGUAGGUACCUACCCUUAAGCUGGGGACAACUCAGGGAAACUUGAGCUAAUACCCGAUAAGACUACGGCUGGGAGGCUUGUAGUAAAAGGAGCAAUUCACUUAAGGAUGGGCUGCGGCCUAUCAGGAGUUGGCGGGGUAACGGCCCACCAAGCCAGAGACGGGUAGCCGGGCUGAGAGGUCGAACGCCACACUGGAACUGAGACACGGUCCAGACUCCUACGGGAGGCAGCAGUGGGGAAUAUUCACAAUGGGGGAAACCCUGAUGCAGCGACGCCGCGUGGAGGAUGAAGGUCUUCGGGUUGAAACUCCUUUUCUUGGGAGAGAUAAUGACGGUACCCAAGGAAUAAGCCACGGCUAACUCGUGCCAGCAGCCGCGGUAAGACAGAGGUGGCGAGCGUUGUUCGGAAUUACUGGGCUUAAGGGCGAGUAGGCGGUGGAGCAAGUCUGAGGUGGAAUCUUAGGGCUUAACCCUAAAACUGCUUAGAAACUGUUUUACUUGAGUCAGUG
Molecule: ribosomal RNA, 602 nt
Filed under: uncultured Lake Michigan sediment bacterium LMBA30
Lineage: Bacteria; Pseudomonadati; Nitrospirota
Description: bacterial SSU rRNA
Rfam family: Bacterial small subunit ribosomal RNA
Source: RNAcentral